AGUCAACAACAGCAUAAACUCACAAGGUAAAAGAAUGUUAUCAUCUUCAAUAUUUAUUUAUCAUAUAAGCAAUUCCUCUGGCAUUGACACAGACAAAUUUAUAUUUCAGAUGAGACUUAAAAUCAGGAAACUUUUAGAUAUCUUGUUAAUUCUUUUCUUAAAUAUUUUAAAAAACAUAAAAGAGAAAAGGCUAAUGUAACUUGUAAUCUGAAAACCCACGCUACCUCAGUACAGGAAAAGUUAAAACUCAACAAUUCAUCAUUAUUUUGGAAAACCCCAUAUGGUUUAGAAAAAAAUAAAUUGAGGAAUGGUUACUUUUAUUGAUCUUACUUUGCCUCAUGAUACAUGCCAUCUUAUCAGGGAAAAGAUAAAUAGAAAUAGUGCUACGAAGUAACUGAAAAUAUCACACUACUGACAACUAAUCUUCUUUUCCAACAACUAUUAUUUCAAGACCUAUAAAAGUGGCCUCUUUAUUUUAAUUUUUUACUUCUCUGGAACCAUUGUUUGUAACUAUAAUUUUUUCUUUAAAUAAAAUAGAAACUACAAAUCAUAUCAUCAGAGGGAAUACACCAAUUAAGAUCCCAACAGAUGAAAAGCUAUCAUCCUAGUAGAGGUAGAU
RNAcentral lists this unclassified non-coding RNA (619 nucleotides) under Hevea brasiliensis (rubber tree). Lineage: Eukaryota; Viridiplantae; Streptophyta; Magnoliopsida; Malpighiales; Euphorbiaceae. The record is from RNAcentral.